Molecule: long non-coding RNA, 624 nt
Organism: Numida meleagris (helmeted guineafowl)
Lineage: Eukaryota; Metazoa; Chordata; Aves; Galliformes; Numididae
Source: Ensembl
AUGCGGAGAAUAAGAAGGCAAGAUUUGGCCACAGUUAAGGCGAAGAGAGGAGGGAAGCGGGAGCACCUUGGACGGGGCGCCUCGGCCCUGUCCGCCGCGGCGGCGGGGGCUGAGGGGCUGAAGAGGAGAUGCCGAGGGAGCCAAGAGCUCUCCUUCUCCCUCCUAGCGGCAGAGCGAGCGACAAACUUGCCCCACGCCACACCAGGUUACACAGAAACUUUGCUUUCCCAUGAGCUCCGGACAGCAAAAUGCUGCUUGAGGAGACCGCGAGCCGCUUUCCGGGCUGCUGCUAUAAUUAAGUUAGGUGUGGCGAUCCCAGAUCCGAGGGAGAAGGAAAUGAUUGAUACCGCCAGAACCCCCUUCCCUUACGCAGCCCCGAGCAGCGCCCGGCGCAGGCUGACAAACUGCUGCUCUGUCCAGAGAUCACACAGAGGGUCUGAUACUUUUUAUUUUCUUGCUUGCACCACGGGAGAACUUUCGUCUGAGAAAGGAACAAAAGAAGCCAGAAACAUGACAGAUUUCAUCAAGAGAGCUGUUCGCAGAUUAAAAGUAGGUCUGAUUUUAUUUUUUGUUUUGUUUUGCUGUGCUAGACUUCACUUCUCAAACUACAGAAGAGUGAAGUGA